GUCUAUGACCAUACCUCCCUGAUCACAUCCGAUCUUGUCUGAUCUCAGAAGCUUAAGCAGGGUUGGGCCUGGUUAGCCCUUAGAUGGGAGACAGAUCUCGACCUUAGUAAUGGGAAGGAAUCAGGGAAAGACA
This is a ribosomal RNA of Cricetulus griseus (Chinese hamster), 133 nucleotides long. The record is from Ensembl. Lineage: Eukaryota; Metazoa; Chordata; Mammalia; Rodentia; Cricetidae.